This 253-nucleotide ribosomal RNA is filed under the name uncultured bacterium. Its description in RNAcentral is "partial 16S ribosomal RNA". It matches the Rfam family "Bacterial small subunit ribosomal RNA", at positions 524 to 776 of the family's 1533-position model. The record is from RNAcentral.
UACGAAGGUGGCAAGCGUUACUCGGAAUUACUAGGCGUAAAGGGCAGGUAGGUGGUUUGAUAAGUCUGUUGUGAAAGCUCCCGGCUUAACUGGGAGAGGUCAACAGAAACUAUCAGACUUGAGUAUAGGAGAGGGUACUGGAAUUCCCGGUGUAGCGGUGAAAUGCGCAGAGAUCGGGAGGAACACCAAUGGCGAAAGCAGGUACCUGGACUAUUACUGACACUCAGCUGCGAAAGCUAGGGGAGCAAACAGG